CCCUAAACCCCAUUUUCUCUCAAAUUUCCUCCCUUCCAUCAAUCUAAGAUCAUCAACCAAGGUUUGAACCCAAACUCAAAUCCAUGAGUUCCUACAUCAUUUGAGGCCUAAAGAAAGCUUGAGUUCCUUCCUUCCACUUGUCUCUACAACCUUGGUGAGUCUAGUUCCAGUACCAGGGUUGCAGAUCAGGAGGAGCGUGCGCCUAUAGACUCGCAUCACCAGCAACCCCUGUUAAGCCUGAGGCAGCUUCUGAAUCUACCCUAUCAAUUCCCUUUCUUGCGGAACGGCUUGAAUGAGCUGUGACAUGGAUAGACCCUUAGAGAGUAAUAAGACUAGAUGGUUCUAAAAUUUGAUAUGUUAUUAGUAUUUCGUCAUACCUAUUUUAUUGAUUGAGACAUGUUGUGUGAUACCCCAAUUCGAUGGUGGGAUGGACGAUUGGGAGAGUGCUCCAUGUGAUUGGGACUCCCGAACCGGGUUUGUGGACUUUGUAUCCUGACGAUGACUUAUGCUUGCAGGAUUGCUCCUUACAUUGGUUGUGGAUUACAUAUGUUAUUGUGUGUGGAGAAUUUAUGUGUGAUUGUUAGGAGGC
Long non-coding RNA from Tripterygium wilfordii, 589 nucleotides. RefSeq lists it as uncharacterized. The transcript is spliced from 3 exons. Lineage: Eukaryota; Viridiplantae; Streptophyta; Magnoliopsida; Celastrales; Celastraceae. The record is from RefSeq and is a predicted model, not a curated record.